RNAcentral lists this ribosomal RNA (505 nucleotides) under uncultured bacterium. RNAcentral's name for it is "partial 16S ribosomal RNA". It matches the Rfam family "Bacterial small subunit ribosomal RNA", at positions 31 to 507 of the family's 1533-position model. The record is from RNAcentral.
GAACGCUGGCGGCGUGCCUAAUACAUGCAAGUCGAACGCUUCUUUCCUCCCGAGUGCUUGCACUCAAUUGGAAAGAGGAGUGGCGGACGGGUGAGUAACACGUGGGUAACCUACCCAUCAGAGGGGGAUAACACUUGGAAACAGGUGCUAAUACCGCAUAACAGUUUAUGCCGCAUGGCAUAAGAGUGAAAGGCGCUUUCGGGUGUCGCUGAUGGAUGGACCCGCGGUGCAUUAGCUAGUUGGUGAGGUAACGGCUCACCAAGGCCACGAUGCAUAGCCGACCUGAGAGGGUGAUCGGCCACACUGGGACUGAGACACGGCCCAGACUCCUACGGGAGGCAGCAGUAGGGAAUCUUCGGCAAUGGACGAAAGUCUGACCGAGCAACGCCGCGUGAGUGAAGAAGGUUUUCGGAUCGUAAAACUCUGUUGUUAGAGAAGAACAAGGACGUUAGUAACUGAACGUCCCCUGACGGUAUCUAACCAGAAAGACACGGCUAACUACGUG